RNAcentral lists this ribosomal RNA (468 nucleotides) under uncultured bacterium. RNAcentral describes it as "partial 16S ribosomal RNA". It matches the Rfam family "Bacterial small subunit ribosomal RNA", at positions 28 to 507 of the family's 1533-position model. The record is from RNAcentral.
GACGAACGCUGGCGGCGUGCUUAACACAUGCAAGUCGAACGGAAAGGCCCUGCUUUUGUGGGGUGCUCGAGUGGCGAACGGGUGAUUAACACGUGAGUAACCUGCCCUUGACUUUGGGAUAACUUCAGGAAACUGGGGCUAAUACCGGAUAGGCGCUCCUGCUGCAUGGUUGGGGUUGGAAAGUUUCGGCGGUUGGGGAUGGACUCGCGGCUUAUCAGCUUGUUGGUGGGGUAGUGGAUUAACAAGGCUUUGACGGGUAGCCGGCCUGAGAGGGUGACCGGCAACAUGGGGACUGAGAUACGGCACAGAGUCCUAAGGGAGGAAGCAGUAGGGAAGAUUGCACAAUGGGCGGAAGCCUGAUGCAGCAACGCCGCGUGAGGGAUGACGGACUUCGGGUGGUAAACCGCUUUCGCCUGUGACGAAGCGUGAGUGACGGUAAUGGGUAAAGAAGCACCGGCUAACUACGUG